This 484-nucleotide ribosomal RNA is filed under the name uncultured bacterium. RNAcentral's name for it is "partial 16S ribosomal RNA". It matches the Rfam family "Bacterial small subunit ribosomal RNA", at positions 29 to 523 of the family's 1533-position model. The record is from RNAcentral.
AGUGAACGCUGGCGGCGUGCUUAACACAUGCAAGUCGAACGAGAACGGGUUAUAGCUUGCUAUAAUUGUCAGCUAAGUGGUGCACGGGUGAGUAAUGUAUAGGUAAUAUGCCUCUUACUAAGGGAUAACAAAUGGAAACGUUUGCUAAUACCUUAUACUCCUUAUUAACAGAAGUUAAUAAGGGAAAGAUUUAUUGGUAAGAGAUUAGCCUGUAUUGUAUCAGUUAGUUGGUGGGGUAAUGGCUUACCAAGACUAUGACACAUAACUGGUUUGAGAGGAUGAUCAGUCGCACUGGAACUGAGACACGGUCCAGACUCCUACGGGAGGCAGCAGUGGUGAAUAUUGCACAAUGGACGAAAGUCUGAUGCAGCAACGCCGCGUGGAGGAUGACACAUUUCGGUGCGUAAACUCCUUUUAUAUGAGAAGAUAAUGACGGUAUUAUAUGAAUAAGCACCGGCUAACUCCGUGCCAGCCGCCGCGGUAA